RNAcentral lists this ribosomal RNA (472 nucleotides) under uncultured bacterium. RNAcentral describes it as "bacterial SSU rRNA". It matches the Rfam family "Bacterial small subunit ribosomal RNA", at positions 355 to 825 of the family's 1533-position model. The record is from RNAcentral.
UGGGGAAUAUUGGACAAUGGGCGAAAGCCUGAUCCAGCCAUGCCGCGUGUGUGAAGAAGGUCUUCGGAUUGUAAAGCACUUUAAGUUGGGAGGAAGGGCAGUUACCUAAUACGUGAUUGUUUUGACGUUACCGACAGAAUAAGCACCGGCUAACUCUGUGCCAGCAGCCGCGGUAAUACAGAGGGUGCAAGCGUUAAUCGGAAUUACUGGGCGUAAAGCGCGCGUAGGUGGUUAGUUAAGUUGGAUGUGAAAUCCCCGGGCUCAACCUGGGAACUGCAUUCAAAACUGACCGACUAGAGUAUGGUAGAGGGUGGUGGAAUUUCCUGUGUAGCGGUGAAAUGCGUAGAUAUAGGAAGGAACACCAGUGGCGAAGGCGACCACCUGGACUGAUACUGACACUGAGGUGCGAAAGCGUGGGGAGCAAACAGGAUUAGAUACCCCAGUAGUCCCUGAGCGGGCUGGCAAGGCGCAU